RNAcentral lists this ribosomal RNA (1377 nucleotides) under Ocinebrellus falcatus. RNAcentral's name for it is "16S ribosomal RNA". It matches the Rfam family "Bacterial large subunit ribosomal RNA", at positions 181 to 2776 of the family's 2925-position model. The record is from RNAcentral. Lineage: Eukaryota; Metazoa; Mollusca; Gastropoda; Neogastropoda; Muricidae.
AUAUAAUAACAUAGUGUAUUUUAUUUAUUUUAAUUUAAUAAGUCAAAGCAUUUAUAAAAUAAGUAAAGGAGAUUAAAAAUUAUUUUAUAAUACACUUUUAUUUAGUACUGUGAAGGAAAGGCAAUUAGUUACUAAAAAGAAAAAAUUAAAAUUUGUACCUUUUGCAUCAUGGCUUAGCUAGAUUAAAUUUUUAAGAAAAUGUCUCGAAAUCUAAUGGGCUAUUUUUAGUCAAUCUAUUAGGAAAGGAAACUAAUUGUGGCAAAAAUUUUUCUAGAACUAAAAAUAGAAAUGAAAUUUUAUUCGUAUUAGAUGAUAGCUAGUUCUUUUUUAAAGGCAUAUAAGUGCUCUAAACUAUUUUUAUUUCAUAAAUUUUAUAUGAAUAUAAAUAUAAUAGUUUAAUUAGGCUUUCGAGGAUAAGCUCGAAAGCGUAAAUAAAAUAUUUUAUACUAAAAUUAAAUUUAAGCUUGAAAAUAGCUAUUAUUUUCGGAUUUUGUUAUAAUUCCAUUAUAAUUCUAUGUAUAUAAUAAAUUUAUUUGAUUUUGAAAGAAGAAAACCUUAAAACAUAAGUUAGGAUAAAAUUAUGCUAAGAUGAGUAUUUAUAAGUUAUUAGUUUUAGAAAUACAAGAUAAAAAUCUUAAAAACAAAUUUUCGAUAUAAAAUUAUAAAAAGGAACUCGGCAAAUAAUCAUUCUGCCUGUUUAUCAAAAACAUGGCUCCUUGUAUUAUAAAGAUAGGGAGUCGGACCUGCCCAGUGAAAUUUUUUAACGGCCGCGGUACUCUGACCGUGCAAAGGUAGCAUAAUCAUUUGCCUUAUAAUUGAAGGCUUGUAUGAAUGGUUUGACGAGAAUGAAGCUGUCUCUUUAUAAUUAAUUUGAAUUUUAUCUAUAGGUGAAGAAGCCUAUAUUAUAUUGAAAGACAAGAAGACCCUAUCGAGCUUUAAAGAAAUUAAUAAACUUAAAAAUUGAUAUUAAAAAUAUAAAUUUCAUUAUUAAAUUAUUUUAGUUGGGGCGACUGAGGAACAAACAAAGCUUCCUAUAUAAAUAUUAAUACAUUCAAGUACUGAUCCAAAAGCUUUGAUUAAAGAAAUUAGUUACCGUAGGGAUAACAGCAUUAUCUUUUUUGAGAGCUCUAAUCGAAAAAAAGGUUUGUGACCUCGAUGUUGGACCAGAAUAUCCUAAAGAUGCAGCCGUCUUUAAGGGUUGGUCUGUUCGACCAUUAAAAUUCUACGUGAUCUGAGUUCAGACCGGCGUGAGCCAGGUCAGUUUCUAUCUUCAAUUUUCUAUAGUGAGCUUAGUACGAAAGGACCAACUUACUGUAAAAUAUUUACUCUAUUUGAUAAAAUAUAAAGUAUUAUUAAGUUAAUAAUAAAACAUUAAAA